UUGUAAUUCAUAGAAAUUUCUUAAAAUGAUUGCCAUCAUCCAUGAUCAUAUCUCAAUAUCCAUGAACACAUUCGCUAGUAAUUGGCUUAUUCUCGAUUGGCCAGGAAAAAACAAGGAUAAUUCCAAAUUUCUCAAUGAUCUGAAAAAUAUUGCCACUGUACAUGAAUCAAAUAAAGUUUCCCAUAAUGCAUUGUAGUGAAGUGAUGCAAACCUCGACAAAGCAAUCAUAGAAGAUGCGAAGCUUGCAGCGGCGGCCGUCGUCGGGGCUUCAAGCAAUUUUUGAGAGACCACGUUGUGAACUAUUCUCUCCGCAUUUGGGCAGCUCUCCUUAUAAAAAUCAGCUCAAGGAAGAGAUAGAAGAAGCUGAGCCAUUGGAAAUCGACAAGAAGAAGAGAAGCAGGAAGAUAAAGUAGAUCAAGGCCUGUCAUAAUAUUAAACUAGAAGUUGGAAUGUCUCAUCUUGAAAGGCUAAUUUAUAGGGAGGAAAAGACUAAAAGAGAGAUGCAAACAAUGAGAGAAUGGAAGAAGAAGAGAGAGAGAGAGCCAACGUUUCCUCCUUAGGCAAAGAUUGCAAUGGUGAUUUUUUCAUAUUCUUCUUUUCCUUCUCUUUUUUGAGCCCUCACUACACCUAAG
RNAcentral lists this long non-coding RNA (632 nucleotides) under Elaeis guineensis (African oil palm). RNAcentral's name for it is "long non-coding RNA (EGUI_LNC025236)". The record is from RNAcentral. Lineage: Eukaryota; Viridiplantae; Streptophyta; Magnoliopsida; Arecales; Arecaceae.